GAUGAACGCUGGCGGCGUGCCUAAUACAUGCAAGUCGAGCGAACAGACGAGGAGCUUGCUCCUCUGACGUUAGCGGCGGACGGGUGAGUAACACGUGGAUAACCUACCUAUAAGACUGGGAUAACUUCGGGAAACCGGAGCUAAUACCGGAUAAUAUAUUGAACCGCAUGGUUCAAUAGUGAAAGACGGUUUUGCUGUCACUUAUAGAUGGAUCCGCGCCGCAUUAGCUAGUUGGUAAGGUAACGGCUUACCAAGGCAACGAUGCGUAGCCGACCUGAGAGAGGGGUGGCCCACACUGGAACUGAGCCACAGUAGAGAAACCCAUGGCAGGCAGACGCGGGGUGUUGGCAGCAGGGCGUGAAAGCCUGACACAGUGACAGUGCGUAAGAGAAAAAGGUCAUGUAACUUUAAACCUCUGAACGUAGCAAAACACAAAAGCGAAAGUUACUAAGCUGCCCGUGACGGUACCAAAACAUCAAGCCACCACUAACUACAUG
Molecule: ribosomal RNA, 497 nt
Filed under: uncultured bacterium
Lineage: Bacteria
Description: partial 16S ribosomal RNA
Rfam family: Bacterial small subunit ribosomal RNA
Source: RNAcentral